Molecule: long non-coding RNA, 2097 nt
Organism: Aquila chrysaetos chrysaetos
Lineage: Eukaryota; Metazoa; Chordata; Aves; Accipitriformes; Accipitridae
Exons: 2
Source: RefSeq, a predicted model, not a curated record
CUUCAGGGAACUUCACACUUUGUUCCUUCCUAGAAAGACAGAACAAGUUAAAACAUUCAGAGAGGUAGAAGACAGAUACCAUAUUUUAUCAAUAAUUCAAGAAGUUCAGGCAGAUGAGGCUCCUGUUCAUCAAAAUUAAGCUAUUUUUGGAAGUGUAAGCAACAUGAUUUUUCUUUCCCUGCAGACUUCUGGUGAUCAACCAAGUUAACUCUUGUAAUUAUCAGCAGCAGUUUCUCAGCUGACAGUCAGCUCACAUCCAAGUUUAAUGAAUCAUGACAUGAUUUAGGCAAUAAAUAGUCUACACUAAGACAAAACUGACGCAUUACACAGUGGUAAUAUUUUACUACGUCAUCAUCUAUUCUUAUUGAUCAAAACCACGGUAUGUAUCAGAAAGCUAAAAGGCUAUUUAAAACAAAAAGCAAAACAUUAACAGCAUGUGGUGGAAAGAAGCUGAGAACAGAGUUAAUUUGCAAAAAUUGUCUCAAGGCAAAUGCAUAAGGAGCUGCACAGAAAGCUUAAUAUGAGGCACCUUUAUAUCAAAAAUUAAUAUAUGAUGACUCUAGUAGUGCUAACGAUACUACAAAUACCAUCAAAACCUAAUUUUCUUGAUUACCUACAUGCAGCAAAAUAUAAAACACACUGGAGAGGAAAAGCAGGAGAGAAAACAAUGACUAGAGGUAAGGUACCUUUAUGAAACCAAUUGGAACAUUACAAAAACAAUCUUACUAAAACUAUUAAGUCUGUCACUCCAGAGACAGUCUAGAGCUGCUUUAUAAAACAGACUAAGGCAAAAUGAGUAUAUGAAAAGAAAUAGGGAACACCAGACUUUAUAGUAACAGGGAAAAUGGUAAGUAUUAGAGGAAGCUUCACUUAAUGUAACUUGUUUUACUGCUCUAAAACCUGCUUGAGCUAUGCUUUAAAAUAAUUCAAGAAAACCCUUUUCAUCAUGUUAUACAUGACACUCACUCUGUCCCCUAGGAGGCAUGGUUUGGCAAACUAGAUCCUUACUCAAAAGUGGGAGGGAAGGUCACUUGACUCAAGUUUCCAAAUAGUAUGUUGGGGCUCAUUAACUAGAACAGUGGUCUUAAAACUGUAGCCUCAACAAUAUUUGGAAAUCAGUUUCUAACUUUUUCCAGCCCUAAAAUUAAUCACAUUAGUAUUCCAAUGGUGGUUAAUAUGGUUAGAUCUAGUAGAUCUCCAGCUUAUGCCUCUUGACCUAGCAGAGUAGAAGACAACAGCAUACUACUACUACUACUUCUUGUCUCAAUUGUCAACAGCACCUCAUGAAACACAUGUGGCUCAUCACAACUAAAACUGAGACUACUCAUCUUUAAACAAGCAGGUCCUCUGCUUGUAGCCACUCAGGCCAGCCAGAACUAAUGGACUGUGCAAAUGAGAGGUAAAGAGUCUGAAUGCUGGAAAACGUGCAGAAGAGAGACCCAGUGGAAUCUGCAGAACUUGACAGGUUAACUGGAUUGGGGCACUGGCACUAAAGACUGCAGCUUUUGCUAAGCAGUGGAUGAGGGUAACACUGCCUUUACGUAGACAGGUACACACCUUCAAACUACUCCAGCUGAGUUCCUUCUCAAUUACCCUAGGGGACAGAGAGGGACUGGGACUGAGCUGGAGGAAUAUGGCAGAGGAAGCCUGACCUGAGGCUGAUUUGCAAGGCUUACUGCACAAAGUAGGGGAGAUUAUGAGUUAGAAGUUGGGGUGACUCAGAACUGAUACAAAUGUAACUAUUUCCGUACUGAAUUAAAACAUGAAUUUAGAAUUGCGAGACUUAAUUUACAGGUUUAAAGUUUUUGUGGUAGGUAACACUGCACAGUACCAAUAGUCUGAAUUACCAUUUCCUGAUGAUAGAAUUCUUGAGGGAGAAGCGUGGAAAUCAACCUUUUUAUUUUACGUUGCAGAGAGGCAGGUAUUUAUUAUAGUGCUUGUUUUAAUUUCCUUUCUGUAAAAACUGUAAUUGUGUAAGAUUGAGUAUUAAUCUUCUAAAAAAAGAAAACUAAACCCUAGGUCAAUCAAGUCUAAUGCGUAGGGCAUACAUGUAACACCAAAAACAUAUCUGAAACAAUAAAUUGAGCACUUUCAAAA